Uloborus diversus is the source of this 4564-nucleotide long non-coding RNA. RefSeq lists it as uncharacterized. NCBI's taxonomy places the organism in Eukaryota, Metazoa, Arthropoda, Arachnida, Araneae, Uloboridae. The record is from RefSeq and is a predicted model, not a curated record. The transcript has 6 exons.
AUUUUUUCUUCUUAAAUUACAUCGAUUAGGCAACAAUAAGGUAUUGACAUCCGUGGCGCCAUUUAAACAUGACUUUUGUAGCCAUUGACUUGAAAUUACUUAUUUCAAUUUCCUAAUCCUUGCCUCCAGUCAGAAAUAAUUCUGAAGACUGAAGACGAAAAUGCUCUAGAAGGAAAUAUAAUUUUUUAUGUUCGAGAGAAUAAUUUUUAAAAAAACUGCCCUAUUUUUUUUGCUGUAGCGGGAAGACUCGUUAUUUCAAUUUUUUGUAUGCGAUUCAAAAGAAUAUAUUCAAUGAAUGUUGUAUCGAAGAACAAUAAAAACCACGCAUACUCUUAUGUAAAUACAUUAAUUUUUCGAAAUCAGGAGGGGGGGGGGCAUUUGCCCCCAUCCAUCCCCUAAAUGACAGGCCUGAAAAAGAGCAUCGAAGCUGGAUUACACUAGAUAAAUUUUUGAAAAACAAAAUAUUAUUUUUUGUUUUUAGCUUCUAUGGUUAUGAAAAGAGUUUCUUUUUCACUUUUUUAACUUUGUUGAUGAUUUUUAAAAAAAUCCGUAUUUUAAACCAUUGUUGUCAUUGUUUCAAACACCACGUUUCUCAGUAAACUGAUUUGACUCUCUUAAUUUAAAUACCUUCUCUUAGUUUGUUAAUUUCCUCAUCUGCCAUUUAUUUUUAGUAUACUGCUAAGUAAAAGAUUCUCUCAAUAUACUUUAUUCAUUCUUCACGUAUUUUUGAAAGUUGGACAAAACAAGAGUCGUAACUUUGUUUUCUCAGCAAUGGCAUUUUUAUGGCACCUUUUUUAUUUGUUUUUUAUAAAAACGAAAACAAUGAAGUUUAUGCGAAUUCUAUUAUUUUAUGCAUUUAUUUAUUGUUAUUUUAAUUGUUAUUUUCACCUUUAACCGCUAGAUGGCAGCAUUACUGACUGAUUUUUGAAUGAAGUCUGAGCUGCUGACCGUAACCGUGGACGGUGGAUAUGACGUCAGAAGGAAGGAAAGAGACACGAGACAUCACUGGAUUUAACUGUUCGAACUGUGUUUAUUUACAUUGUUUUCAUUCUCUUAGUCGUAUUUAAAACAAUGCUGUAUGAGUUUCGAACUAUAACUAGAGUUACACGUUUGUUUUCAUUUUAUCGUUUUCCCCCCUGAUGCUUCUGAUUGUGUUAUAUUAAGAGAAUUGUUCGAGCUCAAGAAUUAGUGAUGAAGAUAUUGUAUUGGAAAUCAUGGAUGAAAAUGAUGAUGAAGAUUUGAUGAAGAUCUAUUGCUAUCUAUUGAUUGAUGACACAUGAAGGACUGCAACCUAUAACAGAAGAGGGGUCCCGACGACACCACAAAUUACUGCCCCGUGUGUCACCCAUUCUAGGUAUCCUGUCCUGUUGUCUCUGCACAUACUGAGAUGCCCCAUUUUCUGAAGUGACACAAUGUAACACUGGAUGCUUCAACCAAAAGUCAUUAGACAUUUUCCUGGAUGCUGGUAUCAGAUGAGAUAGUUAAUUGCUAAAAACAUGCCCGAUGAAAUUUUUAUGUAUAUAUGGAUCAACAACACCCAAGUGUAUUUAUUCUAUGCAUUGGUGAAGGAAAGCUUUCUUCCAGUGCAUAUUUGUCUUGCAUCUUGAUUUAUAUUUAAAAAUCCUGGUGAAGCUACUUUGAGGAUUGUCCAUGUUAUGUAUAAAAUUAGCAUCCUUUGAAGUGCUAUUCCAGGAAAAUUCAGUGCUGCUCAUGGACCGACAAUACAGAAGAAUAAUAUUCAAGCAUUUAUGCAUUUUUUAUAUCUAUUAGUUGCAUACAUUUGUUAUCAGUGUUAUAUCACUGCAUUAUGUACUGUAGUAUCUGGUUUUAAUGCAAUGUUAAUGCCUGUAGUAGAACUGAUUUUAAUGUUGAAAAUAGACAUGCUAAAAGAUGUUUUCAAAAAAAAAAAAAAAAAAAAUGCUGCUCUAAUUUUUUUAUUUUGUAUUGAGUUUCUUCUUUUAGCAAUAGUAUGAAGGAAAUUUCAAUGGUUUUUAUUUUAUUUUUUUUUUUUUUUUGAAAGUUUUAAUCAAUAUCCUUUGCAUUCAUGCAUAAAUCUGAUAAAUAUUUUUCUAUGUGAAGCAAAAGUUAUUCAGUGGCAUAGUUUACUUUAGUUAUUUUCUUAUUAUAUGUAUUUUUUCCCCUGCUGUUGAUGUAGAAUACAUACUUUUCUCCUCUAAAAGCUGUUCCACACUCAUUCUUAUGCAUUUGAGUUAUUUUAAAUGCUUCUGUUAAGCAUUAAUAUCUUAUGAGUUUAAAGCAUUACUUUUUUGAAUGUAUAGAAACAUUUUGUCCGCAAAACUAAACUAAUUUGCCUGUAAACUGUCUUUUGAGUUAAAAUGUAGUUCAUAAAGUAUAGGGUAUAAUGCUCCUUUGAUACAAAAUGUACUUCUCAAAUUUCGCUCAUAUAAAAGUACUUUAAUGACCUAAUGCUCAGCCUCAUAGUUGACUUUAUUAUUUUAAGUAUGAUUUUUUUCAAUUUAUGGAAACACAAGCAUGAUUGAAAUUUAACAAAAAUGUAAUGAAUAUGUUUGUUUUAGUGCAGAUGAAAUGACUUGAUUGCAAUCUGUAACUUACUAAAAAUUAAGUUUUUUUAUAACCUCUACAACUUGCGCAUCGUCGUAAUUAUAUAUGAAAAAUUUAAAAUUUGUUAGAACUGCAAAGCUUUUUGUUGCACUCCAUUUUUAGAGGUUUGAGGUAGCUGAUCCAGGUCCUUCUUUGAAUGACCCUUUAUAAAAUAUUGUGUGCUACCUCAAUUUGGCAGCACUUACAUCUUUCUUCAGACAUACAAUUAGAUAUGAACAAUACUCUUGCAGGGUUGCCAACUGCUCUGCGAAAAUAGCAAAACUCCUCAGCUCCGCAAAGAAGUUCUUUUGCUCCGCAUUUCUUGGCUGAGUGCGAUUUCUAGCGAUCGAGCAAUCACCCCUUCACCUUUCUUCUGCCGUGAUCUUCCAUUCAGGAUUUUUGCUGAUGCAUAUACUCUUUCAAAAGCUAGAAAAAAGUUAGACACUUCGUCGUAUCGUGGGUGGGAGGGGGAACGGCUUAAAAGGGACGUUGCAAGCAUUAGCGCUAAUGCAUUUCAAAAUCGAUUGCAACCCCUCCCGUAACACUAGCUCAUUAUUGUCUACUAUGCCAGUAUACCACAUAAACCUUCAUAACCUUUUGUAGACUAUUAUUUUCAACCAUUCUUAUAUUUUAUUUUUUGCUGAAGACUUGUACACUCAUCAUUGCCAUGUCCAUUUUUCGACCAAGUUUUUACAAGCGAUCCACGCUAAUACCCAUUCACCUUGCAUGGGAAAUUAAAGAUGCUUAUACUUAAAGCAUGACAUAAUAGUGUUUAAAGCUGUUUUAUUAAUUUAAAUAUGAUUAUUUUUAUUGCUAGUGCUUAAAAUGAUUAUCAAGGCUCUAAAACAAUUUACGAUAAGUGGUGUUAGUUUUUUUUUUUUUUUACUGAUCUUGAUUAAAAAAAUACCGACUUGCUCUGCAAAAUUUCAAAAUGCUCCUCAAAAUCACUACAGAUGCUCCUCAAAUUGUUUCUCCAAGGUUGGCAACCCUGCACCUAGUAAUGCAAUACAUUAAACAUCUUACUUCAAGAACCCUAUCAUUCAUUCUCUACGAAAAGUUUUUGCUUGAGAAACUUUUUAAGUUAUAUAACAUAUAUUUGUGAUACAUACAUAUUUGAUACUUUACAUUGUCAACCUAAAAUGGAUUCCUAGAGAGGUAAGAAGCAUUGAAUCGGAAACAGUGGAUUGUGGGAUAUUUGAGGAUAUUAAUAUAGUACAAAGGUUGGGAAUAAAGUAGUGGCAACAUAAUACAGAAGGUAAUAGAAAAUCAGGCAUACUGAAAUAUAAUAUGGAAGCACUGAGGUGAUGCUAUUGUGGUUAUUUAUAGGGCAAUAAACGAGAUCUAGUUAGCAGAGGUAUUUUUAUAGUGUUGAACUACACUAUAAAAAUAGUAAGUUGGAACUGUUGUUUCUACCAUUCUAAAGUAUAUUAACAAAAGAUGAUCAGUGAUUGAAUUAAGAUAGGGUGGCCCAUGUAAAAAUGGCUGAAUUUUGUUAAGAAAUGUGUGAAGAAUGUGGAGAGAAUAUUACAGUGUGUAAGAUGGUUGCUCAAUGGGUCAGAAUGUUUUAUGUGGGUUAAAUGAGACUGACUUUACACUGCACAGGUUUUCUGUAAAUUUCUCAGCAUUAGAUUAUCCUCAUUGUCUGAGAUGCUAUUCAGAAGCAUCCAUUUCAUAAUGUUGUAUAUUAGAAACUUUUAUAAUGCUGACUUAUGUAACACAAUUCUCUUCAAACAGCAUAAAUUUUUUCGGAAGAAAGCAGUAAGUUUUACAGUUAAAAAAAGCCCUCUGUUUGGCUUUGCAAACAUAAAAAUUGUUAGUCAAAUUAAAUUUUGAAACAAUUUUUCAUCUUUCCAAGUAAUUCAAAGCUUUUAAAGGAAAAUUAGUUUUCACAAAAAAAAAAUAAUAAUAAUAACAUCGCUCUGGAAAGUAGCUCUUGUGCGAACUAUGAAACUAUGAAGCUAGCAUUAGUACAGGAUAAUUCACUUACCUUCUCUUUUUGAUU